UCGAGGAUCUUCCGCAAUGGGCGAAAGCCUGACGGAGCGACGCCGCGUGCGCGAUGAAGGCCUUCGGGUUGUAAAGCGCUGUCGAGGGGGAGGAAAGCCGGGUUACACCGGUAUGACCUAUCCCUGGAGGAAGCUCGGGCUAAGUUCGUGCCAGCAGCCGCGGUAAGACGAACCGAGCGAACGUUGUUCGGAAUCACUGGGCUUAAAGGGCGCGUAGGCGGAUCUCUUAGUCCGGGGUGAAAUCGUUCGGCUUAACCGGACAAUGGCCUUGGAAACGGGAGAUCUUGAGGGAGGUAGGGGCAUGUGGAACUUCCGGUGGAGCGGUGAAAUGCGUUGAGAUCGGAAGGAACGCCGGUGGCGAAAGCGACGUGCUGGACCUCUUCUGACGCUGAGGCGCGAAAGCCAGGGGAGCAAACGGGAUUAGAUACCCCCGUAGUCC
This 439-nucleotide ribosomal RNA is filed under the name uncultured bacterium. Its description in RNAcentral is "bacterial SSU rRNA". It matches the Rfam family "Bacterial small subunit ribosomal RNA", at positions 355 to 796 of the family's 1533-position model. The record is from RNAcentral.